This 392-nucleotide long non-coding RNA is filed under the name Ananas comosus (pineapple). RNAcentral's name for it is "long non-coding RNA (ACOM_LNC026707)". Lineage: Eukaryota; Viridiplantae; Streptophyta; Magnoliopsida; Poales; Bromeliaceae. The record is from RNAcentral.
UCUUGUAUCUCGUAUCUGUGACCUAUUCGGUCGGUUCCUUGAUUUUUGUCGUUCGAUGACCGUUGAGGUCGGUGUACCCUGAGGGGUUGGAUUGUCGGCUAGUGGCUGACGGUAGUUCCAGAUUUCAGUGAUACAUGAUGUGACAUUCGUGUGACCUAUUGGUCGGUUAUUGAGUAUACUGUUAGUUGACAUCGAACAGUACUUGCAUACAUUUGAGAGGAUGUCGAGUUGUUCCAUCCUAGUUGACCUGAGUGGUCUAUUCUUGUGCUUCAUUACAGUUUGAUGACCUAUUGGUCGGUUAGCCCCGAGGGGCAGUGAUUGUCGGCUGGUUGCCGACGGUUGGCCAUUGAGCAUAUCAGCAUUGAUCGCCCGAGACUCGUUCGCAUUUCACG